AAUGCUUGGGAACUUGCCUUUGCGAGGGGGAUAACAGUUGGAAACGACUGCUAAUACCGCAUAAUGUCUACGGACCAAACGGGGCUUAGGCUUCGGCGCAGAGAGAGGCCCAAGUGAGAUUAGCUAGUUGGUGGGGUAAAGGCUCACCAAGGCGACGAUCUCUAGCUGUUCUGAGAGGAAGAUCAGCCACACUGGGACUGAGACACGGCCCAGACUCCUACGGGAGGCAGCAGUGGGGAAUAUUGCACAAUGGGGGGAACCCUGAUGCAGCCAUGCCGCGUGUGUGAAGAAGGCCUUCGGGUUGUAAAGCACUUUCAGUUGUGAGGAAAAGUGAGUAGUUAAUACCUGCUCACCGUGACGUUAACAACAGAAGAAGCACCGGCUAACUCCGUGCCAGCAGCCGCGGUAAUACGGAGGGUGCGAGCGUUAAUCGGAAUUACUGGGCGUAAAGCGCACGCAGGCGGUUUGUUAAGCUAGAUGUGAAAGCCCCGAGCUCAACUUGGGAUGGUCAUUUAGAACUGGCAGACUAGAGUCUUGGAGAGGGGAGUGGAAUUCCAGGUGUAGCGGUGAAAUGCGUAGAUAUCUGGAGGAACAUCAGUGGCGAAGGCGACUCCCUGGCCAAAGACUGACGCUCAUGUGCGAAAGUGUGGGUAGCGAACAGGAUUAGAUACCCUGGUAGUCCACACCGUAAACGCUGUCUACUAGCUGUUUGUGGCUUUAAGCCGUGAGUAGCGAAGCUAACGCGAUAAGUAGACCGCCUGGGGAGUACGGCCGCAAGG
This 779-nucleotide ribosomal RNA is filed under the name Alteromonas sp. RNAcentral's name for it is "bacterial SSU rRNA". It matches the Rfam family "Bacterial small subunit ribosomal RNA", at positions 112 to 893 of the family's 1533-position model. Lineage: Bacteria; Pseudomonadati; Pseudomonadota; Gammaproteobacteria; Alteromonadales; Alteromonadaceae. The record is from RNAcentral.